RNAcentral lists this long non-coding RNA (962 nucleotides) under Pogona vitticeps (central bearded dragon). Its description in RNAcentral is "lncRNA (ENSPVIG00000024474.1)". Lineage: Eukaryota; Metazoa; Chordata; Lepidosauria; Squamata; Agamidae. The record is from RNAcentral.
AUGACUGCCGGAGAGCAUGCUGGAAGUCGUAGUUCUCCGAGAGAGGGAAACGUGUGUGAGGGGCGAGCCCAGGCCUUAAGAAAUUCAGCCCAGGGCCCCGCAUGGGUUCUUCAGCUGGGCGGCGCUAUAAAUAGCCGCAAAGGACCCUCCCUCCUUCCCUGCGUGCUGGCGUCACUUCCUCCCCGGCCGGACCUGGCCCCGCUCAUUCUCUUUAGUGUUUGCCCUGUGUCUGCCGCCGCCGCGACUCGCUCGCUUCCCCCCCUUACCCUGGACCCCCCUUUCCUGGGAGCUACCAAUGGACUGAGCCGCCCGAAAGCCCGCCCGCCAACACGAGCCGGCCCGGGAGCCCCAGCCCAGAAAAACCACCAGGAUCAGUAGGUUGCUAGUUCUGAAGAGCAGACCUCAAACAUCAGUUAACCAUCUAAAAAUGUAUGGAAUAGUGAAAUGGUUCAAAUGAUCAUUUUUGGGAGUACAGUGGCUCAUUUGCACCUAACACUUACGAAAAAGUAAGCAUUUCUUAGUUUUUCAGUGUGCAUGAUGUACAGUUUCACCCAGUUAAAGAUUUGUAUUUGUCACAUACAGCACUGAUGGUACCUGUCUGUCAUGGGUUUGGAGGGAAAGUUCCAUCCUAUGGGGAGUGGAAGGCGGGACAUCAGGGGGGAGGAGCUGUACUGUAUAUAUAUUUGGAGCUUGUGUGGAGAAGAGGAGUUGGAGUCUGUGUGUCAGACUGGGUACAACUGUUUGUCAGUUAGUACAUACCUGAUAGGUUCAGGUUUCUAUUUAGGUAGCCAGAACUGAUAGGUUCAGGGUCUGUGCGUUACCUUAAGGUGUUCCGUGGGAACCAAGCUGUUGUAUGUGUGUGAGUGGGACUAUGCCACGUUCCUGUAUCCUAUUUACCUGAUCCUUUUAUUUACCCUGUUUGUUGUUUCAAUAAACCUUGUUCUUUUGUUUAUUAAAAUCCA